AUGACUACUCUAACAUUCAAGAUGCUGUACGCCCACCAGCGCGAGGGGCUCAGCUGGCUCUGGUCCCUGCAUUGCAGGGAAACCGGUGGAAUCCUGGGGGACGACAUGGGACUUGGCAAGACGAUGCAGGUUUCUGCCUUCUUGGCAGGAUUGUUCCAUUCUGGUCUAAUCCAGAGGGUGCUAGUCAUCGCCCCGAAGACACUUCUCACUCAUUGGAUUAAGGAGCUUACAGUAGUCGGUCUCAGGCACAUGAUCAGCGACUACUCUGGUUCCAACCUAGAUGCUCGUGACUUUGAGCUUCAACAUGCCUUCAAGGAAGGGGGUAUCCUGUUGACAACGUAUGAUAUUGCCCGGAUCAACUAUAGGCUGAUAAGAGGAGACUUCUAUAAUGAUGCCGACGACGAGGAGGAGGGGAAGAUUUGGAAUUAUGUUAUUCUUGACGAGGCACAUUUUAUCAAGAACCCUAAGACACGAAGAGCCCAAAGCCUAUUUGAAAUACCUUGUGUCCAUCGGAUUGCCAUCAGUGGAACGCCUGUACAAAAUAACUUGAAGGAAAUGUGGGCGCUGUUCUCUUUUUGUUGCCCGGAACUCUUGGGUGAUAAGAAAGAGUUCAGAACAUUGUAUGAAUUGCCUAUCAAUCGAGGAAAUGACAAGACCGCUAGCAACCGAGCCAAGCACAUAGGCUCAAAUGUAGCAAAGGAAUUAAGGGAACGUAUAAAGCCAUAUUUCUUGCGACGUAUGAAAAAUGUAGUGUCACUUGAGACUGGUUUGACAGAUGAUAAACAGCUUCCGAAGAAGAAUGAGCUAAUUAUCUGGCUGAAAUUAACAGAUUGCCAGAGGCAACUAUAUAAAGCAUUUCUGAACUCUGAGCUAGUUCAUUUAGCAUCGCAAGGAAAUCCCUUGGCUGCUCUCACGGUAUUGAAGAAAAUAUGUGAUCACCCACUCAUAUUGACCAAGAGAGCUGCUGAGGACAUCCUGGAAGGCAUGGAUGGAAUGUCAAAUAAUCAGGAUAUGUUGAUGGCUGAAAAUAUGGCCAUGAACCUCGCAGAUAUGGCUCAUGCUGAUGAUGCACUGCAAGCUGGUCAAGAAAGGAAUCUUCUUGAAGAGGGACACCACAUUCUUAUAUUUUCGCAGACUCGUAAAAUGCUAAACCUGAUUCAGGAAGCUAUAUUGCUAGAGGGCUACAACUUUUUGCGCAUGGAUGGCACCACAGAGACUUCCGAGAGGGAAAGGAUUGUGAAGGACUUCAAAGACGGCCUCGGAGCUCAAAUAUUUUUACUGACCACAAAAGUCGGUGGUCUUGGACUUACACUCACCAAGGCAGCUCGUGUCAUAGUAGUUGAUCCUGCUUGGAAUCCAAGUACGGACAAUCAGAGCGUUGAUCGUGUUUAUCGAAUUGGACAGACCAAAGAUGUGAUUGUAUACCGCUUGAUGACAUCUGCAACCGUCGAAGAAAAGAUAUAUAAACUGCAGGUCCUCAAGGGUGCUUUGUUUAGGGCAGCCACGGAGAAGAAAGAACAGACGCGUUACUUCAGCAAGAGUGACAUUCGAGAGCUUUUUAGUCUGCCAGAACAAGGGUUUGAUGUUUCCCUCACGCAGAAACAAUUGCAAGAAGAGCAUGGACAGCAGCUGGACGUGGAUGAGUCGCUGAGGGAGCACAUCCAGUUUCUGGAAAAACAAGGAAUAGCAGGUGUGAGCCAUCACAGCCUCCUAUUCUCGAAAACAGAAGUAUUGCCGAUGUUGAGUGAGAAUGAUGCACUGGACAGGGGUGCCCCUGCUAAGCCAAAGGACGAACGCUUCACUGCUAGAACACACUUGGCAAGCAACACAGAUUCAGAGAUCCCUGAAGAGAUCAACCGGCUGUUGGAAACCCUUGCGAGCACGACACUGGAGUCGAGGCUGGUGCCUGACUGUCGAGACAAGACACAUGAUUUGGAUAAUGAAAUGCUGACUAUGUGGUUCCUAGUAUGCAAAGGCCGGGAUGAACUCUUGGCGGCCACGGAAGCGAUAUGCUGA
This 2016-nucleotide ribosomal RNA is filed under the name Triticum aestivum (bread wheat). RNAcentral describes it as "partial small subunit ribosomal RNA". The record is from RNAcentral. Lineage: Eukaryota; Viridiplantae; Streptophyta; Magnoliopsida; Poales; Poaceae.